CCUGCCGUUGCCGGCGACCGGCGCACGGGUGAGUAACACGUAUGCAACCUGCCCGUGGCAGGGGGAUAAGCGGGGGAAACCCCGUCUAAUACCGCGUAACGCGGCCUAGGGACAUCCCAAGGCCGCCAAAGGGAGCAAUCCCGGCCACGGAUGGGCAUGCGGCGCAUUAGCUAGUCGGCGGGGUAACGGCCCACCGAGGCGACGACGCGUAGGGGUUCUGAGAGGAAGGCCCCCCACACUGGUACUGAGACACGGACCAGACUCCUACGGGAGGCAGCAG
This 280-nucleotide ribosomal RNA is filed under the name uncultured bacterium. RNAcentral describes it as "partial 16S ribosomal RNA". It matches the Rfam family "Bacterial small subunit ribosomal RNA", at positions 74 to 354 of the family's 1533-position model. The record is from RNAcentral.